Molecule: non-coding RNA, 92 nt
Organism: Mycena vulgaris
Lineage: Eukaryota; Fungi; Basidiomycota; Agaricomycetes; Agaricales; Mycenaceae
Source: the annotation of a GenBank genome assembly
GGCUCGGUGGUGGAUGGUUCACAUCUGCAUUUUAUGCUUUCGGAAGAUGCAUAGUUAAGCAGAAGCAGCCUGUUCGAAUCGGGCCCGAGGCA